AGAUGCCCUUAGACAACGCACGUAGAUAUAGCAGAAUAAUGGCCAUUAAGUAGAUGCUUGGCAGGCCAUCGCCUUCUGGGAUCCCAUCCUACACAUAUAUUUCCGACGAUUUAAUUAAUUAGUCACUAGAGCAUAGUAGUGUAAACUCAAGACAUCGCUGCACUUUGUAGUUUGUCUGCUCUCCUGCUACGGUGAUCUAUAUUGAGGGUUUCGCUUGACUGCAGCUCCCCUAGUGUGAAAUGAAGACAUUUUGUACCUUGUCUGCUAUCCUGCUACAUUCAUGUACGAUUUAAGUAAUUAGUCACCAUGUAGCAUGUAACUAAGGCACUAUAUAAUGUGCCAGGGAUUCCCCUUUUACCACUCACGAGAGCAUCGUAGAAUGAAAUGUUACUUCUGGGGUACUUUGAAGUUUGUCUGCUCCUCUGCUACGUUAAUAGGGACAGAGAUGCGAUUUAAAUAUACGGUCAUGAUGCAAGAUGUAACUAAUGCACCUCUAUUUUUUCAGGGCUUCCCUCUUACAACUCUCGAGACCAUCGUAGUGUUGAAAUGAAGACAUCGGGAGGUAACAACUUUGUAGCUUGUCUGUCCUCCUGCUACGUUGAUGUAUACAGAGGGUUUCGCUUCACUGCAACUCCCCUAGUGUGAAAUGAAGACAUUCUGUACCUUGUCUGCUAUCCUGCUACAUUCAUGUACUUAGAGGGAUCCCCCUUUUACCACUCACGAGAGCAUCGUAGGAUGAAAUGUUACUUCUGGGGUACUUUGAAGUUUGUCUGCUCCCCUGCUACGUUAAAAGGGACAGAGGGCUUCUCUCUUACAACUCUCGAGAGCAUCGUAGUGUUGAAAUGAAGACAUUGUGAGGUAUCAACUUUGUAGCUUGUCUGUCCUCCUGCUUUGUUGAUGUAUACAGAGAGGUAACCUAAUAGUGAUGAAAAUUGAUUAUCAUCAAAGGAUGGGAAUGAGACUGGCCACUAUGUUCACCACAAAAUACUAAAUGUAUUAAGAAGCCUGUUUAGCAGAUAAAUUUAACGAACAGUUGAAAGAUCGAAGCUUUCUCUGUCUCUUAUUACCAUAAGUCGCAGAUAUCGAGAUGUUGGUCCUGUGGGCGCAUGAACGAGUCAAUAGUAAAAGAACACAUACUUACCCAUCAAAAAGUAGAUACCUACCUGAUUGAGCUUGGGAAAUUUCUUAAUUCGGUUUUACUUUUUAGACGCGGUCUUCAGGCAGUACCUACCUCAUCGCCAGCAAUCCAAACGAUGGCACUAUUCCAAAACUGCAACGAAUUAGCACGGACCUUGGUCGCUUAUCAACCCUGUAGAGAUCGUCAGCAAAGCGCAACAUUCAUUCAGCAAAUAUGAGCACUAUUCACCACAUCAAAUCCGACGCUGACAUCAACGAGUGUUCCAGCCGUCAACGAAUAUAUAAUUGAUUAAUUUUCCAUCGGUGUGAAACCGGGAUGUUGGAAAUCUGGAAAAUACCAGUCACUUGGUGCGAAGCUACAGAUCAGUGGAACUAGGCCUAAACCCCUUUGAGGUCGCAUUCCGUCUAGAGGAAGGAUGCAACGAUGCCAUCUUAGGAAAUCGUCAAAGCGGUAUCGGGCGACCAAACAACUUACCAACACUCAACAGUUACCCUUUGGUUGGCAUUCGUUUCAAAUCCGCUACAUCCUUAAGUUUUCAUUGGUUUUUUUUGCUGGGGGGGGGGGGGUGGAGAGACUAUGUCGUGUGAUGAACUAGUGCGAGCUACCAGCAAAGUGCAGUUAGGGCAGUACAAUAUUAUUCUAGAGAUGAAC
This is a long non-coding RNA of Photinus pyralis (common eastern firefly), 1789 nucleotides long. RefSeq lists it as uncharacterized. The transcript is spliced from 10 exons. The record is from RefSeq and is a predicted model, not a curated record. NCBI's taxonomy places the organism in Eukaryota, Metazoa, Arthropoda, Insecta, Coleoptera, Lampyridae.